RNAcentral lists this ribosomal RNA (458 nucleotides) under uncultured bacterium. RNAcentral's name for it is "partial 16S ribosomal RNA". It matches the Rfam family "Bacterial small subunit ribosomal RNA", at positions 338 to 795 of the family's 1533-position model. The record is from RNAcentral.
CCUACGGGAGGCAGCAGUGGGGAAUAUUGCACAAUGGGGGAAACCCUGAUGCAGCGACGCCGCGUGAGUGAAGAAGUAAUUCGUUACGUAAAGCUCUAUCAGCAGGGAAGAAACACUGACCUUACGGUCAGCAGACGGUACCUGAGUAAGAAGCCCCGGCUAACUACGUGCCAGCAGCCGCGGUAAUACGUAGGGGGCAAGCGUUAUCCGGAUUUACUGGGUGUAAAGGGAGCGUAGACGGCCAGGCAAGCCUGGAGUGAAAGCCCGGGGCCCAACCCCGGGACUGCUCUGGGAACUGUCCGGCUGGAGUGCGGGAGGGGCAGGCGGAAUUCCUGGUGUAGCGGUGAAAUGCGUAGAUAGCAGGAGGAACACCGGCGGCGAAGGCGGCCUGCUGGACCGCGACUGACGUUGAGGCUCGAAAGCGUGGGGAGCAAACAGGAUUAGAUACCCCGGUAGUC